This 764-nucleotide ribosomal RNA is filed under the name uncultured Corynebacterium sp. RNAcentral's name for it is "bacterial SSU rRNA". It matches the Rfam family "Bacterial small subunit ribosomal RNA", at positions 70 to 848 of the family's 1533-position model. The record is from RNAcentral. Lineage: Bacteria; Bacillati; Actinomycetota; Actinomycetes; Mycobacteriales; Corynebacteriaceae.
AAAGGCCUUUUCGGAGGUACUCGAGUGGCGAACGGGUGAGUAACACGUGGGUGAUCUGUCCUGCACUCUGGGAUAAGCCUGGGAAACUGGGUCUAAUACCGGAUAGGACCGCACUUUUAUGUGUGUGGUGGAAAGUUUUUUCGGUGUAGGAUGAGCCCCGCGGCCUAUCAGCUUGUUGGUGGGGUAAUGGCCUACCAAGGCGGCGACGGGUAGCCGGACUGAGAGGUUGGUCGGCCACAUUGGGACUGAGAUACGGCCCAGACUCCUACGGGAGGCAGCAGUGGGGAAUAUUGCACAAUGGGCGCAAGCCUGAUGCAGCGACGCCGCGUGGGGGAUGACGGCCUUCGGGUUGUAAACUCCUUUCGCCAGGGACGAAGCGUUUUGUGACGGUACCUGGAGAAGAAGCACCGGCUAACUACGUGCCAGCAGCCGCGGUAAUACGUAGGGUGCAAGCGUUGUCCGGAAUUACUGGGCGUAAAGAGCUCGUAGGUGGUUUGUCACGUCGUCUGUGAAAUUCCACAGCUUAACUGUGGGCGUGCAGGCGAUACGGGCUGACUUGAGUACUGUAGGGGUAACUGGAAUUCCUGGUGUAGCGGUGAAAUGCGCAGAUAUCAGGAGGAACACCGAUGGCGAAGGCAGGUUACUGGGCAGUUACUGACGCUGAGGAGCGAAAGCAUGGGUAGCAAACAGGAUUAGGUACCCUGGUAGUCCAUGCCGUAAACGGUGGGCGCUAGGUGUAGGGGCCUUUUGGGGUUUCUGUGCCG